Molecule: ribosomal RNA, 300 nt
Filed under: uncultured Oceanospirillaceae bacterium
Lineage: Bacteria; Pseudomonadati; Pseudomonadota; Gammaproteobacteria; Oceanospirillales; Oceanospirillaceae
Description: bacterial SSU rRNA
Rfam family: Bacterial small subunit ribosomal RNA
Source: RNAcentral
CGCGUAGGAACCUACCUAUUAGUUUGGGAUAGCCAUUGGAAACGAUGAUUAAUACCGGAUACGCCCUACGGGGGAAAGGGGGCUUCGGCUCUCGCUAUUAGAUGGGCCUGCGUAAGAUUAGCUAGUUGGUGAGGUAAUGGCUCACCAAGGCGACGAUCUUUAGCUGGUCUGAGAGGAUGAUCAGCCACACUGGAACUGAGACACGGUCCAGACUCCUACGGGAGGCAGCAGUGGGGAAUAUUGCACAAUGGGCGCAAGCCUGAUGCAGCCAUGCCGCGUGUGUGAAGAAGGCUCUAGGGU